This 10341-nucleotide long non-coding RNA is filed under the name Coffea arabica (coffee). RNAcentral's name for it is "long non-coding RNA (CARA_LNC000124)". The record is from RNAcentral. Lineage: Eukaryota; Viridiplantae; Streptophyta; Magnoliopsida; Gentianales; Rubiaceae.
ACAAAAAUCUCAUACCUCAAUAUUGCAUUAAUAAAUCCAAAUAAUUUGUACCAUCAAUAGUUAAUUUGAUAUGGGUUGAAACAUAGACUAGGUUUUAAAAUUGUUGGAGGAGAGUAUGCGAAUAACUUCUAAUUUUCAAUCUAAUCAUCUUGAAUUUGACAGCUACUAAAAAGUCUAGUAGGAUUGAGGUGCAUAGAACGCUCUCUUUAAAACGAUACGCACCCCUAUGGUAUUCUUUAACCAAUGCAGAAAGUUUGGCGUGCCGCCUCCAGGAUACAAUAGUCCAAUUCUAUAGUUGUUGCUUCCCUUUGAUCUGCACAACAAAGAGAAGUAGAAGCUUCUCAAUAUCUUACUUUAUCUAAAGAAAAUUAGAAUAAGAAAAUUAGAAUCAGGGAGAAACAAAUGAGUGUAGGGAAAAAUAGUAUUUAGAAUAGUCUUUUUGUUGAGAGAAGUGUGUUAAAAAAUUCUCAAAAGAACUUUGAUGAGCAUGGGAUAUAAAUAUAACAAUAAAGUCAUUCCACAGUCAAAUUUUACAUUUAUAACAUCUUAAAUUCCCCACACGCAAUUUUUUACAAGUAUACAGGUCGUGAGCGAGUAUAAGGUAUUAAAAGUCGAUCCCACAGAGAAAAUUUUCAAUUACCAGUGGUUUUUUUAACUCCUUUAUUAUCUAGACUACCACAAACAUAAAAGUAAUGAAAAUAACACUAGAAAACUCCUACAGGUAUGGAAUUUUUUACUACUCUUGCAAAUGACAUUACCGGUUAUGUAAAUGCUAUUAUCUUGACUAGUUAUAGCGUAAUUUCCUAAUGUAUAUGAAAUCUACUCUCGUAGUGAAUCAAUUAUAUUUAUAGCUAAGCCAUGCCAACUCUAGUGGCUAUGAAUGAACUACAAGCUUAUUUCUUCUAUGAAAUUACAUGAAACAAGUCACUAAACCCACAUAGUGUGCACCUCUACUCUCGUGAGUAUACUCCCUAGUUUUAUUACUUCCUUGAACUAAUAUUAAAUUCCAAUUCUCAUUGCAAACUUAACACCUUAAGAUUAUCAUAAUUAAUGGCCGGUUAAUCAUGAUUAGAUAAGCAAAAGUGAUAAAUAACUUGCUCAAAAUAACAUCAUCAAAUAACAAGUAAAUAUCACAAACAAGAUAUAGAAAAUUAAUCCAUAACUCUAGGUAUAAAUUUUAACUAAACAUGAAAAACAAGAUCCAAACUUGUUUUAUAACUAAAUAUGAAAUCAAAUACAAAAGAGAAUGUGGCAGGAGAGAAGUCAUCCUUGUCACAUGAGUUUCAACCUCUCUAUCUUUGCUCCUCAAUGUUCAUCCAAAUCUAAGUACAAAUAUAAGAUGGAUAAAUUAUAUUACCUAUACUAUACUACUUUAACUAAUGAACUAAGGAAAUUCUAAUAAAAACUACAUUUUUGUGGAGUUUCUCUACCUUCCAAAGUUAUGAAAAUGGUCUCCAAAGGCUGCUAUUUAUAGACGAUUCAAGAGCCAAAUGAGUUGUUUCUAGUUGGCAUUUUUGACUCUUGAAACUCCCAUGAGUUGUUUCUCCAAUUUUUCACACUCUUCUUGGUCAGAUACAGUCGAAAUUCUGAGUUGUAGAUGAGCUGGAAAGAUUGUGUGAACAAAGAACAAGUUGUAGAGUAAGUUGAAGUAGAAAACGUGUGACGACUUGAAAAUUUGCUUAUAUUUGCUUACAAUUCUCUGUUAUUUUGAAUAAGUUAAUUUAUAAUUCCUUUUAGUACUAAACUUACUCCCUUAAUAGUUGUAAUAAAUAAUAGAAUCGAGAGUUUCACUUUUACUUUUAUAGUUAGGGUAAAUUAGGGUUUUUACGCAUUUUGGUAGUGUGAUAAUUUGGUGAGGUGUGUGUGCUAAAUUUGGUGGAUAAGAGUGAGUAUUAGAUAAGAGAAAGUGUGUGAUUAGAAGUGCUAAUAAUAAGUUAGUGAAUCAUAAGUUAAAACACAAGUACGAGAGAGUUAAGGAAAAUAGGCUUGAAUCGACGUACACCAUUUGUUACGAUUGAGUACACCACUUGACCACUACUCUCUAACCCUAAUUUUAUUGUUUUUAUUUCAUCUAAUCAACCCUAAAUUAACCCCUAAUGCAGCUGAAAUUUUUUACCAAAGAAAAGGUGAGAAAAGAAAAAAAAAGAAAGAAUCUUGAUUGCCAAGUGUUGGCAAUCAAAGAGAUGUUUGACCAAGACAAUUCUUUCCUUCUUAUCUUUCAUUUUGGCUAAAUUUUUCCCAUUAUUUCUUCAUGUUGGCCGAGAGCAAGGAGAGAAAAAAAGAGAGAAGAAAACUUUCAUUCCAAUCUUGAUUUUGCCUUGUUUGAGUUGGGAUCACAAAAACUAAACCGAUUAAACUUGCACCAAGGGAGUUCAGAAACUUGGAGUGGAGAGUUUCUUGGAAGAAAUAGUUUGGUUCUUCACUUCUCAAGAAGUUUGGAAGGUAUAAGUUCAUCAACUUCCUUUCUCUUCCUUAUUCUUGCCAAAUAUGAUAUAGAUGCCUUGAAUCUUGGAAUAUUAUGGAUGAUAUUCUAGUUUUGGUGUAGAUUAGUGGAUUUCAGCUAGGGUUUUGCCAUUUUUAACCUUGAUUUAUAUUGUUCAACUAUAGUAUGUUGGUAUGGAACUUGGAUAUGGAAUUGUGAGGUGAUUAGUAGCAUGAUUGUGACGUUUUAGCUUUAAAAGAGGAAAUUCCAGCUUUGUUAAGAAAUUUUCAGCUUUAGUAUUGGAUGAUCAUUUGCUAGAAAUGAGUUACAAUUGGAUGGUUUAUGGCCUAGAUUAAGAACUAUCUUUAUAUUCUUACUUGUAGCGUUGGUUUGGGGCUGAUUUGGAAAGAAAAUGAAGUCUUAAAUGGCUGAAAAAAUUUGUAAACACAAGGGAAACGUCGCCUGAUUUUUUUUCGUGUGAUAAGUAAGUGAAACGGAAAUAGGGAUGUGACUUGGGUUUCAUUUGGGACUUAGUUAUGUAGGGAUGCUUAAGUUGACCUUGUGGGCUGUGACACCCGAAAGAAGAAGAAAAGAAAUUUCUGUGAACAGUGAGAAUCUGGCCGGAUUGACAGGGGUUUUGGAAAAAAAAUUGAUUUCAUCACUGCCAUGAAUCCAGUCAGCAAUCCGGCCGAAAAUCCGGCCAGAUCUUGGCUGGAUUGUGACGAGGCACCUUCGGCAGCCAAGUUUGACCGGCUGUUUUCCUUCAUUCUUAUCUUGUUUCUUGGCUAAACUUUGCCUUCAUUUUGCUUCUUCUUGGCCGGCUGCUUUGAGAGAGAAAACAAGGGAGGAAACUUCAUUUUCUACUUCAAUUCCUUGUUCCAAUCAUGAGUUUUAACCGCUAGUUUUGCAAUCUAUUCCAUACAAGUGCUCACUAAGGAGGUUUAAAACUAUUGGUGGAGUUGUUUUGGAAGAGGAAGCACUAAGCUACCAAUUUUCUUGAGGUUUGAUGGUAUCUUACUAAGAAUUUCCUAUCUACUUCAAUUGAUUGUUAAUUGGUGGUUUGUAGAGGUUUAAAUAUGCUAUUUUGUGGAUGAUUUCAUGGUUUAGGGUAAAGCUUAACCAAUUUUGGAUUUAUUGGUGAUUUUCCUGUUUUUAUAUGGUAAAUUAUGGUUGGCCAUAGAAUAAUAGUCUUGUAUUGGGUAAGAUGGAGCUUUUAUGUGCUAAUUAUGGUUUGUUGUGGAAAUUCCAGCUUAUAGAGCAAAAUUUCAGUAUUAGGGUUUCUAAUUUGGGCCUUAAUUGUGUUUAAUUGUGGAGCUAUCAAAUGGUUAUAUGUGGAGGGUGUUGUGACCCUAAAAAAGUGUAUUUACUAGCCUAUGAUUUGUGUGUACUAUUUUGAAUGGAUAUUAGUGGUUGUUGUAGGAUGGAAAUAAGGAAAUUUAAGAGGAAGUGCUGUCCAAUCUUUGAGGACGUUUGAUCACUUUGAGUUUGGGUUAAUUCUUGGUAGAAUGAAGAGCUUGGACUUGAUCGAGGAAACUGUUUAUGAUGGAUGAGGUUCAUGAGCUGUGAUUGGUGAGUGAUCCCAAACUAUUUCCAAAGUUACUUAUGAACUAUUUCUUGCACUGUUUAAUCGAUUGCAUAUCAGUGAAGCUAGCAUAUGUACCAUGAAAUGGUUUGGUUCCAAUGAGUUCAUGGGAAGUCUUGUGCUUAGAACCAACGUCUCCACCCUGUUUACCUGGAGCAUUGAUGGCUCCAUAUUACUAUUUGACUGUUCAUUGAUCUGUUUUAGCGUUGGAGUUCUAAAUACGAGGAUUUCACUGGCCCACAAGAGUACUAAACUUACAUUUGAUCACUGAGUCAUGCCAUCAUUUAAAUGCAUUAUUGUGAAAUGUACUUGAUUACUGAUUUUACUGGUCACUCGCUGAGUUUGUAGCUCACCCCAAAAUAUUUUUCUUUCCCCCUCCAUAGGGCUCGAGGCAAAGAAAGUGCGUGUAAUGAGUUAUUAGUAUGACUGGAUGAAUUAUUUCUUGUAUAACUUGAAUUCGAACUCGAUCCCCUUGUGGUAUGUGAAUUCGGGGAACUUUGGAAGAUGUAAUAUUUGAGACUGAUAUUGUAAUUGUAAUUAUUUGAGAAUUGAGGACUUUUGUCUUAUUCGGGAAUUGUACUACUACUUGAGAUGUGUAAUGUAUGUAAGUAUACGUUCUAAGCUUGGGAAAUGUUAUUUCGGUUAUUAUUGAGGUUGUACCCUAUGUUAUUAGAUGUGAGUGAUGAAAUUUAUUUGAGAACUGUAGUGAGUUCCGUCGAGAGUUGGGCAGGCGGUCCGCUGAACCCUUUGGUUCGCCUUAGGGGGAGGUGGGACUGUCACAUGGGCGACUUAUAGGCGAAAAUUUGGUUCAAAUGUGUAUAGUUUUCAAAGACAAAGUAGCGAUCACUUUAAACACGAUUUUCUAGUUUCUUCCGCCAAGUUGCGACCUUAAACGUUUAAAUGCUUCUUUAUCGAAAUCAAAAGAGCGAGUAUGAAUUUUCUAGGGUUUACUAAGUAAAAUUAGUACUACUUAAAUGAGUUCUAUUUACUUGAUUUUCUUUAAGCGAAACUCCUAUAUUUUGAAACCCUAAUUAAUUGCAAAUUGGUAAAUGGUAUUUUAUCGCAGAUUUGGACUCCAACCAGGGAGUUGAACCUGAGCUUGGUUUUGGGAAGCAAUAACUCAUUAGUGAGUGUUUCCAAAUGCAUGUUUGAACUUAUUACUUGAAUGAAUCACUUUAUUUGAUAGGGCAAGGGUGUACUUUAUCGCACUUGCCCUAAUGUGACUUAUUACUGUGUAUUGGUUACAAUGGUUUGAUAUAUAUACAUGUGAAUAACUUGAAUACUACCGGGGAUCCUAACCCUAUUGGUUAGUCAGUCGAAUCGAGUUGGUAAGUGUGAGGAUUCACAAAAUUCAUUUAUUUUAAAAACCCUAUUUCGAGCUUAUUUAAUCAUGUAAUUGUCCAUUUAUUCCGAAUAUCAUUUUCUAGCCCUAUUGAACUUGAUUACAUGGAAGUAUAGCUUCAAAAUAUUUUUAAAGUAACUCGUUUCAAAACAAAAAAUUAAUUAGUCUCCGAAAGCGCGUUUAGUGAAAUUAGUGAAAAAGUAUUUGGAAAUUUUAACCGUUGGAGAGUACAAUAAGUUUCGAACAUUGGAGACUUGUACUAUGGACCUAAAUUAGGUAUUUUAAAGUUUAAGUACUCAGGUGAUAGUUAGUAGUACUAUCGUUAUAGAAUUUCUUGAAAGUUUAACUUUACCAUGCUUAAAUUGGAAUUCGCAUUUUUGCACGCGCGAUUAAUUGGGAAACUAUAGACCUUCAUUUUAUAUAUUUAAGAGUGGAUAAUAAUAGUAUGAAUAUAAGUAUAUUGGAGGUUUAGUGCACUAGUGAAAUGAACGCGAGAGGAAUUGAGCACAAAACGCGCGCGUACGCACACUAUUGAAGAGUUGACUUUUGCACCAAUUCUAGCCACACAAAUGAAGCUUCCUUAGGAAGCCAAAUUGGAUCAAAACACUCUCUCUCUUCCUCACAAAGUGGCCGGCCAUCAGCUGCAAAAAUAACCCAAGGAGUUCUUCAUUUUUCAUCUCUAAAUCUUGCACAAAUCUUCUCCAAUUCCUUCCAAAUUUCACACACACUUAGCUUAAUACUUGGAGAUCAUCUUAAGCUACAAAAAGAGGGAGCUUUCCACGGUUUUCUUGAGCUAAGAGAGGGCCGAAAUUCUGCCCUUGUUCACCAACACAAGUAAGUGACGAUCAACCCUCAAAUUCUUGGCCUAUGGAAGUUGAUUUACACUUAUAAGCUUAGAUAUUCAUGUGGGUGGCUUGUUUGUGACAGCCCCACCUCCCCCUAAGGCGUACCAAAGGGUUCGGCGGACCGCCUGCCCAACUCUCGCCAGGAUUCACUCACUCGUAUCUUACGCAUACAUCCAUAGACAAGAAACAACAUCGCAAUUCAAACUUAUAAUAUACAUCGAAACUCAAAUCCAGAUACAAAACUUCUACAUACCAAAAUACUUCAAAGUGUUUACAAUUCGAGUACAAUCAACCCUGGUCGGGUACUAGCACAAGUACAAAUUCAAAAUUCAAAACAACUAGACUACGCUAGUCGGUACAAGUCUCACGCCUCGCUCGUACCCCUGUAAGGAAAACAAAUGGAGUGGAAUGAGCUAAAAGCCCAGUGAGAUUCCAAAUAGCAAGUUGACCAUUAUUUAAAGGUACACGUAUCAACGUAGCAAAAGAUAGCGAGCAUAACGAGUUCAUAAAAGUGAACACUAACACUUCAAGUAGCAAAUUUCCAAAUGAGCGAGUGUUAAAAGAAACAAUAAUCCAAUAGGCAAUAAUCAUUUCCAAGUAUAAGGAUACGGAUGGCUCUCAGGAGCCAAGUUCCCAUUGCUUCACCAGAGCUUGAUCAAAUAUUAGUUGACACUCCGUCAACUUUCAAGUAAAGUAACCAAUCCAGUAGAUUACCACUUAACUCCAAUCUCCGUCCAUCAACCAAACCCCUUACUGGGCCCGAACUCCAAGAUAAACACUGGUGGUAAUACUCGAGUAUACCGAUUAGUCGAGGAGAUAACACUCCACUCGACAACACUAGAUACCAUGGUUCAUUAUCUAAUCGACCAGGCCCUUGCCGGCUCGACUCGAUUAACUAGCCAAUGGGGUUUGGGUCCCCAAAAAGUCGAUGAGAUAACACUCCAAUCGACUGAAUCAAGAUAAAAGUACGGAGACGGGAAUGAGAGGUACCUCCCACUCAGAUCGAGUGUGGUACAUACUGCCGCUUAGUACUUACAAGUCACGUACAAGUAUCUCAAAUCAAUUGCAACAAUAAACAAGUACAUAUCACAUUAGGGCAAGUGCGAUAAAGUACACCCUUGCUCGAUCAUACCAAUCACAUAUCAUUCGACCAUAUUGGUCAAAUAUUAAAACUAGUGUCCAGUUCAAUCAGGUAUUUGGAAGCACUCACCAAAGGUCUAGUGCCUCUCAAAAGUCACGUUCAGGUCCAACUCCUUGGUUGGAGUCCAAAUCUGCGAUAAAAUAUCAUUUAUGAAUGUAAAACUCUCUAAAGUUUGAAACAUAGGAGUUUUGCUUCAAGAAAAUCAAGUAAAUGCAAAUCGUUUAAGUAGUAUUCACGAUACUUAUCAAAUGCCGAACAAUUCAUGCUCGCUCUUAAACCUUUGUAACUUUGAAGCAAUUAUACUUUGAAAUACCAUUUGAGUCGAAGAAAUGGAGAAAACGUAUUUCUAUUAGUCGUAAUUUUCAUUUUUCCAAGGGUACAAGUUUCGGCCGAAUUCUAACUCAUAUACCUCGAUAAAAGAAGAUGCAAAUAUCCUAGAUGGUUCACGUGGUAUUCGCUCUCAAGCCUUACUCGAGUCGCAAGUAUAUACCUAGUCCUCGAGUGCAAAUUUGGGCAGCACGCCCUUUGUAUUUACCUAUUUUCCAGCCAUUUAUGGCUUCAUUCUUUUUCUCAAUCAGCCCCAAAACACAUAUAAAUAAUCUCAUCACAAUAGUCGUUCAAUAGGCUAAAAGUCAUCCAAAUACAAGGCAAUUCUAGCAAGUAAGCUUCACUUGGAAAUUCGAAAAUAGUGGCUAAAAGCUAAGUACAAGUCUUGACCGUUUUAAUUAAGAUAACUUGUUAAAAGAGUAAAACUUUGAGGAAAUAAGAGAUACAUUAGCGAGAGAAGUUCAAUAGGGGUACAUUUGAAGUCAAGGAAGUGGAAAAAUCAAGGUAAGAGGUUGGAAGUAGGCCGUCCGAGGUUUUAAAGUCAAGAAGCCUGUUUCUCUGCUUUAGGAAUCUACCGAGAUGAAUAGUAACAGUAAACUUUAAAAAUUCGCAACUCGAGUUCCACAAGUCAAAAAAUUAUGUAAGUUACACCGUUGUAAAAUAGAUUUUUAGUACUACCACAUCCCAGAAGACACUUUUUAGAGAUUAAAAUCACAAAUAGGCCAAAUAUUCGAUCCAAGUCAAAAAUUCAUUUUCCUGAAGAAACAGGACAUUCAAGCAGGGCAGCCUACUUUGAGGAGUCACGGACAGCAGUACACAUGGCGGAAAAAUAUGAAAGUUUUACAGAACAAAGGCCCAUGAGUCUAGUUUCAAAUGCCACUGACGGCACCUCAAUCGGAUUUUUCUACACCAAGAUAUAAGCAUUUUACUGAAACUGGUCAGUGAAAUCCGAAAAUCUGGAAACUCAAUUUCACUUGUGAAAAACUCCUUUUUCUCUUUUAAAACCACAAGACUUUUAUUCCAACCACCCAUACAUUAAGUAUGACAUUCAUACCAGCAAUUUUAACAUAAUUUAAGCAUCAAAUUUCAACAAAAACCAAAGAUAUACGUAUAUUCCAAGUUGAAAGUUUUGUAAGAUGUGUAGACUAAGAUUAAAUCAUUUUCUAUUCAAUAGUCAUGGAUUCUAAGUUGUUUGUAGUUUGGGUUUUGUUCCACUACACCAAUGAAUAGCAACCAGACUAAGCCAACCAUCAUGCAGCUUAACUGCACCAAUUAAUAGCAAUCUAAAGUUUAAAUACCCACUUCCUCAAAACAUUGACAUGUUUUAUAAAAGGAGAAAAUUUGAACUUCACUACCAUUAUUCUUAUACGGAACCUGGUCAUAUAUCUAAAAUGGAAAUUAAUCAUAUACUGUGUCCUUGAAGAGCACUACCUAAGGAACCAAGAGACAUAGAUAUUGGCACCCAAAUCCGUAGUAUAUUGGUUUUCACAGCAGCUCUCUCUUUGAAGCAUCUGACACGACUUCUAUUUCAGAAACUCACCAUUGUUAUCUAAAAAUAAAGCCAAGAGUGCAGCAUAGCAACUAGAACAACUUAUAUACGACUUUCACAGCUAGUAAUCCUAUAUAACCUGAAGUAGAUAUAUUUCAUACUUCUGCUAACAUGAGUCUUCAAGGAAAUUCCAGUUACAAGCGUUAAAAUUCUAGCUCCUUAGCCUCGGUCAUCUCAGAAAUUUUCCAGCACCCAAUCAGCCUUUAAUCUAAAUUUUCUUCAGCAAGGUUCAUUCUUAGCUAAAGUCUAACAUUCAUGUCCAUAUACGUGAACUAGAGAGUGUAUAUCAGUCAUGCACAUAAGAAACAAUCAGAAAAUCUCAGCUUAGCUCAACAAUAUCACAUAACAGCUUCUAUUGAGCAUUUCCAGCACUUGGUCAGUAUUUUAAUUUUAUUUCUUCAGCCAAACCUCUUAUAAACUUAAGGUAAAUGUAUAACAUAUGUUUCCUAUCAUUGGUUUUCCAGAAAUUUCCAGCAAUAAAUCCAGUCUUUACAACCAAUUUCUACUUCAAUCCAACCUCAAGGAAAUAUACAUCAAAAGCCCUCUAAAGUAUGUGAAAGAAAUUAAAGUUCCAAGUCAUGUUACCUUUAAAACAAGCUAGAAGUUAACUCCCCUGUUUUGGUCCUUCUACUCGAUCAAACAAGCUGGAAAUGGAAACAAGACUCAAGCUUCCUUUCAGUUUUCUCUCGCUGGUUCCUCUUGGCUGAAGUGGAAACAAAACAAGGGAAAUUUCUUUGUUUUCCCCAAAUUUUCUCUCGGCUGGAAGGUGGGUGCAAGCCACAACCUUUUCCUCUCAACUCUCUCUACUCUCUCUCGGCUAAGGUGGGACAAAACAAGUGAGCAGUCUUGUUUGUCUUUGUUUUUCUUUCUCUCGGUGGUUGAGCUAAAGAAAAGAAACAAGAGGAAGUAAAUUUGGCUUAGUCAACUUGCAUGCUACUUGGUCAAAAAUGGAGGCAAUGGAGAAAUAUGUCUCUCUCGGUUGGGCAAUUGGAGUAAGACAAGGAAAAACAAUCCGGCAGCUUUCCCUUAAAUUUGUUUUUUCCUACUCUCUUGCUUAGUCAAAAUUUUCGGCCAAGAGAAGAAGAUUAUGGCUGAUAUUUCCACUCCAUGGUCGGCCAAGAGGUAAGAAAAGG